This 764-nucleotide long non-coding RNA is filed under the name Ananas comosus (pineapple). RNAcentral's name for it is "long non-coding RNA (ACOM_LNC008947)". The record is from RNAcentral. Lineage: Eukaryota; Viridiplantae; Streptophyta; Magnoliopsida; Poales; Bromeliaceae.
GGAAAGGUUCACUCAACUUAGAAGAGAAUUAGGAAUGAUUGAUUUAAAUGUUUGAUUCUUUUUGUUUUGAAUGACUGUUUUUAUUUUAUUUUAUUUUAUUUUAUUUUAUUUUAUUUGCCACGCAGUUGAUUUUUUUGAAGCCGGAAACACUUUUUGCUUUUUGCAAAUUCGGACGCCCGAAAAAAUAUUUCGGACGCCCAAAUUUCGGUUUCCGGUCGCACGAAAAUUUUCGGGCGCCCGAAACCUGCGUUGACCACCGUAGCCCGUCUGACCGACCUAGCGGGUUAGCGGGUUUUGGAUCCGGGCGACCAGUUCGGAUCGCACCCGCACCCGAAAACUGGUUUGACCACCUCGCCCGUCUGACCGCCCUGACGGCUUACCUGAUUCCGGAUCUGGGCGACCGGUUCGGUUCGCACCCGUGCUCGAAACCUGCGAGUGGGCCUUUUGUCGUCCUAGCCGUCCGACAGCCCUUCUUUUUCAAAUUUUUUUUUUUUUUUCUCUUCUUCUUCUUCCUCCUGCCACUCAGGUCGCCCACUCCCUGCGCCGAACUUGUGCCUGCUCCGCCCCAAACACCUCCAGCACUCGGAUCUCCUCUCAUUUUCUCCUCAAUCUAUCGUAUUUCUUUUCCAUUUUUUUUUUCUUUCUUCUUCUUCUUUCUUUCUUCUUCGUCCUGCUGUUAACCCUAAUUGCUCUUCCUUUCCAAAAUUUUAUUUUUGGAAAUUUUUUGUACUUUUUGCAACCUAACCUCAACCUCUACCAUGAUC